UUUCUGUAGUCAGGCAUGAAGCCAGGCAUGCCCGUGUAUACAUUCUUCUCAGUUGGCAAGGUAUCAUAGAAGUUCUUCUAGGUCAAUGCAUGUACAUGUAGCUUACUUUUAAUGGCUGCAUAAUAGUCUGUUCAAUGGGUAUAUAUGUUUUUCAGGCAUUCUUUGAUUAAUGAAUCUUUAGAUCAUUUUCUAUUUUUGGUUUUUUGCCACUGAAACAGUACUGCCAUGUCUCCCAGGUGUGUGUGUGUGUCUUUCCAAGUUUUAUCUUCAGACUAUGUUACUACUAGUUGCAGUUAACUACUCAUCCCCAAAUCUGUAAAUAUGUCUUCCUGUGACCCUGACACUACUCUGUCGUGAUUCUUAGUGAUUUCAAUAUCGUUCUAACACUGUGGUCUUAUUAUUUCAUACUCCAGCCUGCCUUUGCUAUUCCUUUUCCAUGACCAUUCAUUCUGCCACUCUCCUAGAUGACUAUUUUAUACUUUCUCCUUAAUUUUCUAAUACCUUCCUUUCUGCCUCCCUCACAUCCAAUGAUUUUGCUUAUUACUCUGAGAAAAUAGAAGCACCCAGAAGAAAAUCUUCUGCAAGCUCCUAUUCCUGCACAUCUGUGUCCCUGUUUCUCCCACCCUCUCUCCUCCUCCAGAGGUGUGGCUCUCUUCUGCAUAAUACUUUCCUCUGCUGGUUCAUAGCUAUCAGUCUGCAGACAAGCUCUACUAUUUAUGUUAAAAACAAAAGAACCUCUUUUGUCCUGGCCUGUUACCAUUACUUUGUUCUUUAGAGCUCUUUCUACUUACUGUCUUUCUGCCCUUUCUUGAACCCUCUUCAUUUGAGCUUUGGUCCUUAACACUUAAGCUCUUUUCAAGUUUAAGGUCAGUGGAGACCUUCACAUUAUCAAAACCAGUGUUUAACUCUCAGGCUUCCUCUUUUAUUUCCUCUUUUUUGGCUUCCCUGUUCAUACUCUGUGCCCAUUUUCCUUGUGUUGCUUGACUUUUAUUUUAAUUUAUAGGCGCUCUUUGUAUAUUUUGUCAGCAUUUUUUCCUGGACACUUGUUUUCCUUUUGAUUCUUUUAAAGUUGUGUUUCGUCAUACAGAAAUGUUAACUCCUCUGGAUUUUGUAGGAAAAUAACUCUAUAAGAAUCAAUGAGAAUUUUGAAAAAUGUGGGUAGUGAAGGUCUUACCAGAUAUUUAAAGCAGAAGUUCUCAAGCAUUAGUGUACAAAAACCUGCAUGGUUGCAUUUUAAAAAUGAAUCUGUCACAGGAGUUUUCAAUUUUUAGGUAUUGGGGCAGUAAGGAACAUAGGGAGGCAUAUCUGAGGAAUCUUCAUUUUAAAUGACCUCUAAGGUAAUUCUGAUAUGAUUGGUCCAUGGGCCACAUUUAAGAAACAUUGCACUUUGGGAGGCCGAGGCGGGCGGAUCACGAGGUAGGAGAUCGAGACCAUCCCGGCUAACACAGUGAAACCCUGUCUCUACUAAAGAUACAAAAACAAAAUUAGCCGGGCGCAGUGGCGGGCGCCUGUAGUCCCAGCUACUCGGGAGGCUGAGGCAGGAGAAUGGCGUGAACCCGGGAGGCGGAGCUUGCAGUGAGCCGAGAUUGCGCCACUGCACUCCAGCCUGGGCAAAAGAGUGAGACUCUGUCUCAAAAAACAAAAACAAACAAACGAAAACAAAACAAAAAAAGAAGCAUUGCUGUAAAUUUAUAUUUGGUAUAAAGGGGUAUUAGCAAAGUAGUAGGCAAAUACAUGGCAGGAACAGAAUGGUGUUUAGAAACACAUUCAAGUGUGAAUGAGAAAUUAUUAAUGAAGAGGACAUUUUGUCUAUUUGAGAAAAGAGUGGUUUAUUUAAAAAUGCUUUAGGCAGUUUAUCUGAGAGGAAAGAAUUUAGCUUUCACCGUCAUACGAUAUAGAAAAAUAAACACUGUUGAAUUAAAGAUCUAGAUGUAAAAAUUAGGUAAACACUGGAAAAAAUACAGGAGACUGAUAGUUUAACCUUUGGAUAGCUGAGGCCUUUUAAAACUAGAUUGGAAACCUAGAAGCUGUGAAAGAAAAAUUGACAGAUUUAGCUGUUCAAGUUUACUUUUACUUUUGAAAGAUAAUGUUCUAACACGGUGAAAUCCCAUCUCUACUAAAAAAUACAAAAAUUAGCUGGGCGUGGUGGCAGGCGACUGUCGUCCCAGCUACUCAGGAGGCUGAGGCAGGAGAAUCGCUUGAACCUGGGAGGCAGAGCUUGCAGUGAGCCGAGAUCGCAUCACUGCUCUCCAGCCAGGCAACGGACGGGACUCUCUCUC
This 2279-nucleotide long non-coding RNA is filed under the name Homo sapiens (human). RNAcentral's name for it is "non-protein coding lnc-KCNE4-1:1". The record is from RNAcentral. Lineage: Eukaryota; Metazoa; Chordata; Mammalia; Primates; Hominidae.